This is a long non-coding RNA of Oncorhynchus tshawytscha (Chinook salmon), 306 nucleotides long. The record is from Ensembl. NCBI's taxonomy places the organism in Eukaryota, Metazoa, Chordata, Actinopteri, Salmoniformes, Salmonidae.
GCAGCAAUAUGAUGGACCAUGAAGCAUCAGUUAUAGGUUAUAGGCUACAAGCAGCAAUAUGAUGGACCAUGAAGCAUCAGUUAUAGUCUACAAGCAGCAAUAUGAUGGACCAUGAAGCAUCAGUUAUAGGCUACAAGCAGCAAUAUGAUGGACCAUGAAGCAUCAGUUAUAGGCUACAAGCAGCAAUAUGAUUGACAUAAAAUAGCAGCAACCACAGACUAUAUGUCCCAUGAUUUUCUAAAAUGGUCACUCAUUACUUUAGUUAACUAUAUAUCUCAUAUUAGGGCUGUGUUGAUUUGGGAGAGC